Molecule: long non-coding RNA, 252 nt
Organism: Corticium candelabrum
Lineage: Eukaryota; Metazoa; Porifera; Homoscleromorpha; Homosclerophorida; Plakinidae
Exons: 3
Source: RefSeq, a predicted model, not a curated record
GAUAGUGUGUAAAUGAACGGACAUGACAGCAAACAGACAAUAGGUGGGAACAUUGCUGAUAUGAGUGGACAAGCAACUGGUAGUGUUGGUCAUCUUGGCAUUGUGCGUGCAGCCAUCGCAUUCUGUUGAUGUGGAGUGCAUUGGAAGCAAGGGAGAACCGGGUGUUCCCGGAGUUCCUGGUCCUCCAGGAAGACAGGUGAGUGAUGGAUGUAGAAUAUAUCUAUUGAGGUACUAGUCAUUAUGAUAGAAAAU